UACGAAGGGGGCUAGCGUUGUUCGGAAUUACUGGGCGUAAAGCGUAUGCAGGCGGACUUUUAAGUCGGGGGUGAAAUCCCGAGGCUCAACCUCGGAACUGCCUUCGAUACUGGAAGUCUUGAGUCCGGGAGAGGUGAGUGGAACUCCGAGUGUAGAGGUGAAAUUCGUAGACAUUCGGAAGAACACCAGUGGCGAAGGCGGCUCACUGGCCCGGUACUGACGCUGAGAUACGAAAGCGUGGGGAGCAAACAGG
Molecule: ribosomal RNA, 253 nt
Filed under: uncultured bacterium
Lineage: Bacteria
Description: partial 16S ribosomal RNA
Rfam family: Bacterial small subunit ribosomal RNA
Source: RNAcentral